RNAcentral lists this ribosomal RNA (1505 nucleotides) under Parabacteroides distasonis. RNAcentral's name for it is "bacterial SSU rRNA". It matches the Rfam family "Bacterial small subunit ribosomal RNA". Lineage: Bacteria; Pseudomonadati; Bacteroidota; Bacteroidia; Bacteroidales; Tannerellaceae. The record is from RNAcentral.
AGAGUUUGAUCCUGGCUCAGGAUGAACGCUAGCGACAGGCUUAACACAUGCAAGUCGAGGGGCAGCACAGGUAGCAAUACCGGGUGGCGACCGGCGCACGGGUGAGUAACGCGUAUGCAACUUGCCUAUCAGAGGGGGAUAACCCGGCGAAAGUCGGACUAAUACCGCAUGAAGCAGGGGCCCCGCAUGGGGAUAUUUGCUAAAGAUUCAUCGCUGAUAGAUAGGCAUGCGUUCCAUUAGGCAGUUGGCGGGGUAACGGCCCACCAAACCGACGAUGGAUAGGGGUUCUGAGAGGAAGGUCCCCCACAUUGGUACUGAGACACGGACCAAACUCCUACGGGAGGCAGCAGUGAGGAAUAUUGGUCAAUGGCCGAGAGGCUGAACCAGCCAAGUCGCGUGAGGGAUGAAGGUUCUAUGGAUCGUAAACCUCUUUUAUAAGGGAAUAAAGUGCGGGACGUGUCCCGUUUUGUAUGUACCUUAUGAAUAAGGAUCGGCUAACUCCGUGCCAGCAGCCGCGGUAAUACGGAGGAUCCGAGCGUUAUCCGGAUUUAUUGGGUUUAAAGGGUGCGUAGGCGGCCUUUUAAGUCAGCGGUGAAAGUCUGUGGCUCAACCAUAGAAUUGCCGUUGAAACUGGGGGGCUUGAGUAUGUUUGAGGCAGGCGGAAUGCGUGGUGUAGCGGUGAAAUGCAUAGAUAUCACGCAGAACCCCGAUUGCGAAGGCAGCCUGCCAAGCCAUUACUGACGCUGAUGCACGAAAGCGUGGGGAUCAAACAGGAUUAGAUACCCUGGUAGUCCACGCAGUAAACGAUGAUCACUAGCUGUUUGCGAUACACUGUAAGCGGCACAGCGAAAGCGUUAAGUGAUCCACCUGGGGAGUACGCCGGCAACGGUGAAACUCAAAGGAAUUGACGGGGGCCCGCACAAGCGGAGGAACAUGUGGUUUAAUUCGAUGAUACGCGAGGAACCUUACCCGGGUUUGAACGCAUUCGGACCGAGGUGGAAACACCUUUUCUAGCAAUAGCCGUUUGCGAGGUGCUGCAUGGUUGUCGUCAGCUCGUGCCGUGAGGUGUCGGCUUAAGUGCCAUAACGAGCGCAACCCUUGCCACUAGUUACUAACAGGUGAUGCUGAGGACUCUGGUGGGACUGCCAGCGUAAGCUGCGAGGAAGGCGGGGAUGACGUCAAAUCAGCACGGCCCUUACAUCCGGGGCGACACACGUGUUACAAUGGCGUGGACAAAGGGAGGCCACCUGGCGACAGGGAGCGAAUCCCCAAACCACGUCUCAGUUCGGAUCGGAGUCUGCAACCCGACUCCGUGAAGCUGGAUUCGCUAGUAAUCGCGCAUCAGCCAUGGCGCGGUGAAUACGUUCCCGGGCCUUGUACACACCGCCCGUCAAGCCAUGGGAGCCGGGGGUACCUGAAGUCCGUAACCGCGAGGAUCGGCCUAGGGUAAAACUGGUGACUGGGGCUAAGUCGUAACAAGGUAGCCGUACCGGAAGGUGCGGCUG